Non-coding RNA from Meleagris gallopavo (turkey), 1977 nucleotides. NCBI's taxonomy places the organism in Eukaryota, Metazoa, Chordata, Aves, Galliformes, Phasianidae. The record is from RefSeq and is a predicted model, not a curated record.
UAUAGGGGUAGUGUCUGACCCUUACUUUUUGGUUUUACAGCCCUGAGCAUCAUAGAAGCCUUUGUCUGCAGUGCUGUAAUCUUCACCAGUAGGAGAUAAAGAGCAGAAGCUGAGGAUGUCAUGAAACAACAACAGCAACGCACGCGUGGAAAUGGAGGUGGUUCAGGGAAUGCGUCGAUUGCAAAAAGAAUGAGGAAAAAAAGGAAACAAAAGAGAUGUCAUCGUGCACAAAUGCCCUCUGCUCAGUGGUUUUUGGCUGCAAGGCUUAGGGAAGGACUGCAGCAGCUUGGGAUGCACAUCCCUGGGGCUGUUGGCCGACGGGCACUUGAAUUCUCCGGCGUUUGCACAUCUCAUGCCAUACAUUUUUUUUUUGCUGGGAGCACUCAAGGCUGGGGGACGCUUCGGAGGCUGCACAAGAGGAGGCUUUUUGUUCCUGACAUCACCACGGCUGCAUCGCUGGAGGACAAUGAGCCGCUUCUUGCAGCCCGGGCUGGCAUCUUGGCUUACUGAGGUUUUGCCCUGUGGAGGAAUGUUCCCCUAAAAUACAGUGGAUGGCUGCAGCAGCGUUAAAGACUCCAAUGAAGGUGACAGCUUGAAGCCCUGGGAAAAGGGGACGCUGCCUUUGCUGCCUGUUAGUGGGAUUGAGCCCUGUGCUGCUGCGGUACGAAGCUCCGUGGCCUUGUUCACAUCAAUCCCUGGGGUGCAAAGAGGUGUCAAACGCUUCUGGCUGCUUUGCGGAGAGGAAACACUGCUUUUCCGGCAGUGAGCAGGAGGUCUGUGGGGGUUUAGUGCAGCUGUUGUGUGCUGUGAUGGCUUUCAGAUCCUAUCCUGUCCCAUGCACCGAUCGUGGCUCAGGGCUGAUGAUGCCGGAUGCUUUUUAUAUCUAUCUGCCAUUUCAGGCUGUGUUUUUGCAAUGAGGAUGGAUUUUCCCACUGAGUUGCACUGGGCUUGAGAUACUGAGUGUGGAGACUGCAGCUUCAAAAUACGCAGAAGAACACAGAGCUUUAACCUUCCACAGCAUAGAGCCUCCAUCCCAGCUCCGGAGAUGUAAUUCCCUAUCCCCACUGAGAGAAUUCAGACUUUCUUUCAUCCCCCUGAAUUUUGAGGCUGGAUCAGGGACAAUGGGAAACGUACUGUGUCCCCAACACCGUAAAGCAGCACAUCAGCCGGUGCUGCUAGUGUCACCCUGCCUGAAGUGCCCUCCGGCUGUUCCCUGCACAAAGGGCCCAUUUUCUUCCAGUUUUGCCAUUUUUGAAAGCUGCCUCUGAGACUUCGUCCCCUGGGUGUCACCAGCCCUGAGCCAGAGGAGUGGGAUCCCAUAAAUGAGGUCCAGCAGAUCUCCUGGGGGAUUUGGAUGGCCUUGCUGUGAUUCAGGAAGAACCUUAGUAAUUAUUGAUAAGCCAGCUAAUCAGUGAUCGCCCCAGUGCUGUGAUUUGCACUGUGGUUUCUGGGACCUUUCCCAGUUAUCACCAUUUCCAUGUGUUUUCCCUCUUUGGGAAAUGCUUGUUUUGCAUGGUGAGAGAAAAGGAACGGAGCAGCGUAAUCUGCAGCAGGGACAUGCCCACGAUGGAUGCACGGUGUGAAGCCAUCCUGGCCAGAGGGAUGCUCACAAAUCCUGAGUUUAAUGCCUGAAUUGUGCCCUGAGUGAGCCCCACUCAUAGCUUACAGGUAUAAGUAUCAUAGUGUUUAUAGUGGCUUUGUCGCCGGUUAGGAAGGUAUUUGAUGAGGCGAAGUAAGACAAAGACCUCCUGGGGCGAAGUCAUCCUUUGGGUAAACGCUAGCGCUGGUGAAGGGAGAAGACUACAUCUCCCAGGGUGCCCCACGGCCGUCAUGGCCGCCAGGCAGUGCGCUGCUAAAUACUACCAAUCCCAGCAUGCAACGCGGCCCAACAUGGCUGACCGGAAGUGUUCCCGGAAGACUACAUGUCCCAGCUCGAGGCUGGAGGACUACAGCUCCCAGUACGCUGUCACAUUCCGA